RNAcentral lists this ribosomal RNA (253 nucleotides) under uncultured bacterium. RNAcentral's name for it is "partial 16S ribosomal RNA". It matches the Rfam family "Bacterial small subunit ribosomal RNA", at positions 524 to 776 of the family's 1533-position model. The record is from RNAcentral.
UACGGAGGGUGCAAGCGUUGUCCGGAAUCACUGGGCGUAAAGGGCGCGUAGGCGGCCUGAUAAGUCGGGGGUGAAAUCCUGCGGCUUAACCGCAGGGCUGCCUUCUAAACUGUCAGGCUCGAGCACAGUAGAGGCUGGUGGAAUUCCCGGUGUAGCGGUGGAAUGCGUAGAGAUCGGGAAGAACAUCAGUGGCGAAGGCGGCCUGCUGGGCUGUUGCUGACGCUGAGGCGCGACAGCGUGGGGAGCAAACAGG